CUCCUAAGGCUAAAUACUCUCUAGUGACCGAUAGUGAACCAGUACCGUGAGGGAAAGGUGAAAAGCACCCCGGAAGGGGAGUGAAAUAGAACCUGAAACCGUGUGCUUACAAGUAGUCAGAGCCCGUUAAUGGGUGAUGGCGUGCCUUUUGUAGAAUGAACCGGCGAGUUACGAUUUGAUGCAAGGUUAAGCAGUAAAUGUGGAGCCGUAGCGAAAGCGAGUCUGAAUAGGGCGUUUAGUAUUUGGUCGUAGACCCGAAACCAGGUGAUCUACCCUUGGUCAGGUUGAAGUUCAGGUAACACUGAAUGGAGGACCGAACCGACUUACGUUGAAAAGUGAGCGGAUGAACUGAGGGUAGCGGAGAAAUUCCAAUCGAACCUGGAGAUAGCUGGUUCUCUCCGAAAUAGCUUUAGGGCUAGCCUCAAGUGAUGAUUAUUGGAGGUAGAG
RNAcentral lists this ribosomal RNA (447 nucleotides) under Staphylococcus aureus. RNAcentral describes it as "partial 23S ribosomal RNA". It matches the Rfam family "Bacterial large subunit ribosomal RNA", at positions 457 to 907 of the family's 2925-position model. Lineage: Bacteria; Bacillati; Bacillota; Bacilli; Caryophanales; Staphylococcaceae. The record is from RNAcentral.